Molecule: ribosomal RNA, 460 nt
Filed under: uncultured bacterium
Lineage: Bacteria
Description: partial 16S ribosomal RNA
Rfam family: Bacterial small subunit ribosomal RNA
Source: RNAcentral
CCUACGGGUGGCAGCAGUGAGGAAUAUUGGUCAAUGGCCGUAAGGCUGAACCAGCCAAGUCGCGUGAAGGAAGACGGAUCUAUGGUUUGUAAACUUCUUUUAUAGGGGAAUAAAGGUAUCCACGUGUGGCUAUUUGCAUGUACCCUAUGAAUAAGCCUCGGCUAACUCCGUGCCAGCAGCCGCGGUAAUACGGAGGAUGCGAGCGUUAUCCGGAUUUAUUGGGUUUAAAGGGUGCGUAGGUGGGUUGAUAAGUUAGAGGUGAAAGUUCGGGGCUCAACCCCGAAACUGCAUUUAAUACUGUUGGACUAGAGAAUAGUUGAGGUAGGCGGAAUGUAUGGUGUAGCGGUGAAAUGCUUAGAGAUCAUACAGAACACCGAUUGCGAAGGCAGCUUACCAAACUAUAACUGACGUUGAGGCACGAAAGCGUGGGUAGCAAACAGGAUUAGAUACCCGAGUAGUC